This 43795-nucleotide long non-coding RNA is filed under the name Mytilus galloprovincialis (Mediterranean mussel). The record is from RNAcentral. Lineage: Eukaryota; Metazoa; Mollusca; Bivalvia; Mytilida; Mytilidae.
UUAUUAUCCAAUCAAAAUUGAGAUUAUAAAAUCUUUUUACAGGAUUGAUUAGCGUCGUUUUUCCAAAUCAAAGAUUUGUGACGUUACAUUUGUUUAGUAUUAAUGUAUGCUCUGUGGGCGGUACGGGAACAUAUAUAACUCUAUCCUAUACAUUACUUUUUUCUCUUGUAACAAAAGUUAAUGAAUUGAUAAAGACAAUACAAUUAUAGCAGAGCCAAAGAAGUGAAGUUGUAAUAGAAUAGAAUUAUGAAUUUCAGCAAAAGUUUAUCAAUUAUUGUAAAAUUUUUGACAGUUUUACUGGUACUGGUAUUAUCGACACAUGCACAAAUGGAUGUUGACGAAAAGGCUCUUUCAACAGUAAGUUCAUUAAGAAUUUUGUAGUUACUUUUUCUAUUUUCACUGAUUAUCUAAAAACAUUAUUCAACAAAUUAAUGCCUUAAACAGUUACGUAUUUCGUUUUAUUGCCGAUUGCAAAUUUGUAUGAAAUUGACGAACAGUAGAAAAAAAUGGAAUUUUUCAUUUAGCUUAAAUAUUAACCACUUGUAAACUUGUAUUAAAUAUUUUCUUAAAUAUGCUUGAAAAUACUAUAACAUUUUUGCCUUUGAUGACAGAACAGAGAUUGAUCAAUUUUAAGUGUAUUGUCAAUAUUAAAGAUUAAGACAUAGUUGAUUUGAUAGCAAAGAAGAGUUAAAAUGACAAAAAUAUGUAGUUUUAAUAUCAACGGAAACACAGUUGAAAGAUAAUUUCUGAAAUUGAUAAUGUUAUGCAAGAAUAGAAGCAAAUGCUUCGGAUGGUAUAGUACCACAACAAGCUUGAAUAGAGAGCAGUGGGAAAUGUUCCUUUAUCUCAUAUGUCCAUAUGCGUGAAAUCCCGUCAUUUAAACACAAGAGUUUGUAUAGCAAAUGAGCAAAAUUAUCGUGUAUGUGCUAUAUUGUUUGUUUUUGUAACGUAUUAGAAGUAUGACAGUUGUUAAAACUAGGGACAUUAAAUUAGGGACUUUCCGUUUUGAAUUUUUCGUCUGAGUUCAGUAGUUUUCAGAUUUUACCUUUUUUCAGAGUUGCAAGGCAUUUUACUUUACCCUAAAUUCUUUUUAAUAAGUCUCUUUCAACAAUAACUUAUGAACAAAAGGUUGUUAAUAUUGUAUCAUGUAGUAUUGUCUAUUGCCUAGAAGUUUUUCCAAAAUAUUUGUAUCUGUUUUAUAGGUAACAUAUGUCAAAUAUUUCAAGUUUUGGGUCAUGUUCAAGUAUAUGAAUAAUUCGAUAUUAACCACUUCAUUAAGAAUCGCAAAACAAAAGACACCUAAGGAAGGGUUGGUAUUAAAUAAUACAAAAUAAAACAAACGAUUUAAGUAAAGCGGUACUAAUACUAAGCAAUACAAUAUGCAUAUGUUUAAAGAAGCUUCUAUUAUUAUAAUAGUUUCGCUUUCUUUGAAUAUCAGAAUAACCAGUCUUGUAUCAUGCGGAUAGAUAUCAAUAAUAAUUCAAUGGCCUUCUGGUUUCGUAAAGAUUAAUACACCAUUAUGUCUCAAUAGAUACAUCUAAGAAACACGAGUGUCUUUGUCGAAGUAGUACAUUUAUUUAUUUCUUUACAAAUUGCACACAUUUAAACUAGUGCAAACAAACAUUUAAGAAAACGUUUCAAUUCUUAUAAACUUCGAACAAUGUUUGAUACGCAAAGCGAACAUAUGACAUUCCUAACCGGAUAUUUUCAAAUCAAGUGUUAAACCAUACGCCUGUUUACAUUUUUAUGUGCAAUAUCAUCUCUGUAAAAUUUGGUAAUCUUUAAUGUUUGCACAGGUUAUAAUGUCCGUUUUACCAAGCAUGAGGUGUCAGUCCUUAUAAAUAAUAUAACGUCCCACACAUAAUAUUAUCGCUAACAAAUAUAUUAUCAAACAUAUUUUGAUUUGCUCUUAUUUAUGAUAAUAAAUAUAAACAAUAAAUUUAGAUUUUACAUUCAUAAAUACCUGGUAAGUUCUGUCGUUAUAAAAAUGACAGGAUAUGUUACCUAUUUAUUCAGGAUAGAUUCCUUAAGAAAUCAUCCACAGUUCGAUCUUCUGCUAGUUUUGUCAUUGUCCUGAGCGGGAUUUGAACAAUGCUUUUGUGAUAUUUUUACAACCCAGUCUGCUAUAUGUGCAAUACUCUACACAUUAGGCCUUUAGCCGUAGGUUUCAUUUAAUUUAAUGGUUGAUGGCAUAAACUGCUAUUUUUCGUCAGUCUUAAAAGAAUUACUGACCUCGAAGUGGCGUCGAAAAACACAUUGCUAUUCUGAUAUAUCAUACGUUAUACGGGGCUAACACAAUAAAUACAUAUACUGGAUCUGCAAUGAUGCCCAACAGUGCAAGACAGUCACAUUCACUAUCAAUUCUGGUCGACGUUACGCACAAUGUUGGUGACGUUUUCUGAUUUCACGUACCUGACACAAAAAAUCGGCCUAAAAUAAGACAAAUACAGGAAGAUCAAGUUUUAUUUUGUGUAAAAACUAUUUAAAACACUAGUGAAAUUUAGUUACCGAUAGCUUAUCGGUUUUAAUACAGUUUUGUCAAUCAGUUUUCUUAAUACUAACAAAAAAAAAUCUUGUAUUUUUCGUGUAGACGGGUAACAUACUAAUGUUGUUCUUCGAGUAUCCCUUCUAUUGUCGGGCACUUACAGGUAUAUAAAAUAUAAUAAUGCUACAUCAUUUGGAAGAGGAACGUUAGGGCUUUGGAAUUACAUGUGUUUAAAAUGUAAAUAACGCAAUUUUCGGACCGAGUAGGCCUUGAAUGAAGUCAUUUUUGAUUGUAGACACCAAAACAGAUAUCACUCCCUUUCGGCACAACAGUUCAGAAUGCAUUUAUAGCGAGAGGAUUAUAUUCUCAAAUUGGUGGUAGUGCAUAUCCUUUUGUAAAACAAGUUUGGAAAACUCUGUGAAAGCAAAAAAAUCCAAUGUAAAUACUGUGGGUUCAUUAUUAUUCGUUGGAUACCAAUUUUCGUGGGUUUCGUGGGUACAGGUGAACCACGAAUUCAAAUGUUCAACGAAUAAAAUAUUUUUUAAAAGGCUUUGUAUAUAGAGAUUGGCAAAUCCACGAAAUCAAAUAUCCACGAAUAUGCAAUCUUUCAGCAAUCCACGAAAUUUGAUACCCACGAAAAUAAAUGAAUCCACAGUAAGCGAAUUUCGUGAAAACUUCGACAUCAUUUCCCAAAACCUAGUCCAAAGUACACUGUCACAACAACGUUUAAAAAAACUUGUUAUACAGAGAAAUGAUCAACAUUGAUUAAAAAUGUGCAAAACUGUUCAUCUAGUCAGAAAAUGUAACAAGUCUCUUAAUCUAUCACAAUUUGAACAGCAUUUAUUCGUACAGUAAUUUCAUUUAUAGCACUAAACAAAAAAAUACUAAGUAUAUGAAUCCCCAAAGGUCUCUCGUCACAAAACUUUUAACCAACGUUUUACGUUAGUAACUCCAGUGUUGGUUAUAGAAAACACCGAAAAUAAUCUGUUCUACAUUUUAGAACGGAUAAAUGAAACCAGUAUGAUAAAUUCCAAAUAAAAACGAAAAUAUUGUAUGCUUUCAAUUAUGAUUUUAUCGAUCAGUAUUGAAUAUCGAUGCGUUGAAAGGGUGUCUACCAAAAUGUCACAAUGAAAGCGUUUUCAUUUUUUCUUUGAAUUAUUAGAAACAAGUUGUUACAAAUCUUCAAAAAAGAGUGAAAACAACAUCAGUUUUUCGAAGAGCAUCACUAUAAUGUCAAAUACCUUUGCAAAAGGAACAUUUUGAUAUAUAUAAAGUAAAGAUUAUUGUACAAAUCAUCAAAACAAAGUGGUCGCAUGGUUGUCUACCAAAAUGUCACAGCAUCUCUAAUUUGACGUUUUUGACGUAAACUAUGUAGGCAACGUUAUGUUUGCGUUAUGGUGUUUUUGAAACAUAUAUAUUUUACUAAGAGAAUACAUAGAAUAGGAAGUUAUAACAUAUUUUUUAUUUCAACUUGUUGAAAUGCCGGUUCUUCUUUUUAAUAUAACAUAAUUAUUUCAAUAAAACCUGAUUUGAUAACGUUUAAUGAGACAGCAACUCAUCAACAAAUAUAUUACAUAUUUUUCAGAUCUUCCGCAAACAAAGUUGAAAUUUAAAUAUUGCUUGCUUCAUACUUGUAUAAUAUUCGUAUCAAUUAGAAUGUUGGUCGUUUUAGGAGUGAACGCAAACUUGGACACAACAGCAAUGAAUCAAUCAAAUUGUUGCAACGAGUGGCAUUUAAAUUAUAAAAAAGCAUCAUUAAUGAUACAUUCCAUACAAUUUUAACGUUUCUUAAGUAAAAUUAGUACACAUACGGUGAUCUGUUGUUCUUAAAUUCUUUGGUAGAUAAUUGUCUCAUCGGCAAUCAUACCCAUAUUUUUUCAAUUGUUAAGAAAAUCCGAGGUCUGUUCUUUAAGCGAUCAAAGAAGUUUGCACCACAUGUUUUAAAAUUGCAUGGUAUCGUUUGCGCCAAAAAUAAAACAUACAAUUGCGCCAAUUAGAAGUAAAAAUACUUCCCUACUACUUUAUUUGGACCUGGAACCGGCAGGUUACACGGCAAAUGUUUCCUUUUCUGAAAUAUAUCUUCUUAGCUGCUGCAUGGGUACUGCCCAAUUUAAUGUAUAUAGUAGCUUGUAACUUCACUUUUUUGUCCAAAAACACAAACAUUGGAGGUUGAAAUGCAUAAAACAGUUCAUAAUAAUACCCAAUAAUAAUAAAGCCCAUACGCAUGGUGGGAACACAGCACUGUGUCAUCAACAUAUGUAGCUAAAACAUAAUCAGCAGCCGAGGUUGUUAAUCAGAUUAACCAAAUUUUGGCCGUCUUUUUUUCUUUCUGUUUGAAUCAUCUUAAGUGAUGUCUUUUAUUGUACAUGUUUUAUGCUCUUUGUGGGCCCAUGUGACAAAAAUAAACAUCUUCUUCAAGAUUUUCGGUUUAAGCGUGUGUCCAAGAUAAAAAUUCUUACAUAAAUAGUGAAAUCAGAAAAAAUACUUAAUUCCGAUCAAAAUUCAAAACGGAAAGUCUCUAAUCAAAUGGCAAAAUCAAAUAACUCAUAUUCCUGACUUGUUACAGACAUUUUCUUAUGUAGAAAAUGUUGGAUUAAACCGGGUUUUAAAGCUAACUAAAACAAUAAUUGUUCCUAUACUUAAGUGGAUGUUUAUUAGUUUAACAAGAGAUUUUUUCGUCAUUUUCACAUCCCUUUACUAUUAAAGGAAACAAUAAAGCAAUUAAUGUUUCGUGUUGAUCUUUUUCACGUUUUGUAAAGUUGUAAAGCUUAUAAUUUCAAUCAAAUUAAAUAUUAAAAAAACAAAACUUUAAAAUUACAGAGCGCUCAAUCUGUUCUUUACUGAGUAACCAAUAUUAUUGUAUUGAAAGGAAAAGAAAAAAUCCUUACAAUUAUAUCAUUCGUCAAAGUUUAAGUUCAAACUUCAUACUAGUCUUCCAUUCAACUUUUUCAAACUCUAAAAAACUACCCCUAUACAAAAAUAGAAUAAAGAAAGUAAAUCAAUUCUGAAUGCGAUACCGUGAACUUUGAUGUGACGUACAUUUUAUCAAUCUUUAUGACUACAUGAUAGUUCCACAAUUGUUGGUAUUUGGACUCAAUGCAAGAAUAACGUCUCUACUGCCUUUAGCGUAUACCCAUCCCCUCCAAUACUCAUAUACGUAUAUUUUUAUUAGUUCUGGCUUUUUCAACAUACAAAUAAAUUGGUCAUUGAAUAUAAAAAUCAUUAGAAUUUUGUGAAAAAAUACAUUUUGACGACAUUUACAAACCAUGGUUUGAAAGACGCAUGAUCGUCCGAAUAUAUUUUUGUUUAUAUCAUCAGAAAUUGAUAAUUAACGCUUCUCAACAAAUGUAUCAAUAAAUAACAAAUACACCAAUGAGAGUUCUGCUUUUAUUGGUACCAAUUUUGAUUAAAACUCCAAUAUUAAAUGGUCCCUGAAUAAUUUUUAUGAAAAAAACGUAGAUUGACAUGAAAUAUAUAACAACAAAUCGUAAGUGACAAAUCUUUAUGACCAUUUUCUGAAUAUCUAACGUCUUGUUUCGUUCAUAGAACACAAUAUGUAUACCUCACAGCAUUUUUCUUGUCCUACGGAGAACAUGGUGUAAACCCAUAUUUCCUUUUAUGCACAGCAAAUAAUGUGCUUAUAGACUUUACUCGAAGACAAUAAUACAAAACGUCAAUAUAGUACACGACUUUGACGUUACAAUACGACGUUACUAAAAGUGACACCAAUAUCAUGCGUAACGUCGGUCAUAACAUAAGGGCGAUUCGGAUACAGAAUUAAGUGACAUCAUGACAACCUUCUAAACUGUUUGCAUAGUUCUAGACCAUCCUAUCAACAUUACAAUACAACUUUCGUCAUAUUGAAUUGAAAUGUUGUACACGAUGUAUAUUUGCAUGAAUCUAUAUGUGAUGAACUGAAUUUUUAAAGAACUGUGUAAUAAUGGGUGAAAGGAACUUAUAACGUGUUUUUUUCAAAGUAACAUUUUGAUUGAUAGGGUUUAAUCGAAUUCAAAGAUCGCCAAUGCAAUGGGGUUUAUUAUAAAAAGUUAUGGGCGCCCAUAAAUAAGAUUUCCGAGUUGAUGUAGUAGCAAAAACAUAUUUAUUAUUUUCACCGUUAUUUUACCAUUCUAUAAAGAUGAAAUUGAAUUUUCAAAAACGAAAUUCAAUAGACAGUAUGGAUGCUAGUUUAUAUAGAAUUAUUAUUGCUAAUCAUGUUAUUUGUUAAUGAUUAAUAUAUUCCUUUGAUCUUAUUUAUAUUAGGCUAUCAGUAGUAAGGCUGUCAAUUUAAAUGUAAAACAAAGCUGCUCUUUUAAAGGAAAAAUAACAGCAUACAGAUAUAUAUAUCCUUUUUUUAGACAUAUUAACGUCAACACUUUAUAGUUAUAAAUAUCAACGUGGAAGUUAAACUUAAUAAAAGAGUGCAAUUAUGUAAUAUGAAACGUGAUAGUUUUAUGUUAUAUAUGUUUUGUGAAUAUUAGGAAUAUAAACGUAUUUGUAACUUAUCAAUCAAAAUCGAAAACUAAUCCUCAAAUAUUGUAUUAUUUAUGACUUUAAAGUGAUUUUACUCGGAAGAUGGUCUUUGAAAAUAGUUAUUGGUAUAGUUUUGCCGAUACUUACAGCCCCUAUGAGAAAUACUAACUGUAAAUUUAUAUUAACAAGGGAGAUUGGAAAUUAAAAACGUAUUACGCAUUUACUAAAUCCUCUCCUUUAUUUCUAUCUGUUUUAAUGCACUUGAUUGUUUUAUUCAAGCUGUUUAAAUUGACGGAAGUCAUUCAAGCUUAAUUAAAUUCAUGAGCAUUACAAUUUGAGUCCUACUUUUAUAUUAUAAUGUGUUCUAUAUAUUGGCAAAAGGACCUAUUUAAAGGUUGACAUCACCAAUUGUAAUGUACCGGAAGUGGUUUUUUUUCAUGUUUAAGCUGUUCGGUUGAGAUAAUUGAACCAUAUACAGAUGUUGAAAGCUUUGUCUGACCGAGUUGCAUGUUUUAUUGAUAAACAUAUAAUCAAUAUAUUUUUAUGUUAACAUUAAGAAUAGAAAUGGGAAAUAUGUCAAAAAGACAACAUCCAAACCAAAGAGCAGCUGUUACUCAUAUAACAGUUUUAUAUUUAAGAAAUAAUUCAUUGGGGCUUGAAUAUAUCGUGAUUUUACCACGAGUUGGCCCUUAAUGGCAAAUGUUUUACCCUGAGCGAUAGUGAGGGGUAUUAUAUCGGCAUAAAGGGACAACCCGUGGUAUAAUCACGAUAUAUUCAAGCCCCAUGAAUUAUUUCGAUUCUAAUAGGACAAAUACGGCAAUUAUUUUGGAUCGAAGAGCUCUAGGUGAAGGCAUUAUUUGCCGUUCCAUAAACAAACGCACUAUUAAAUUGACGUAAAAGAACGGAACAAACUGAAUAGGUGACAUGCUUUAACUAAUUACAAUAAUUAUUUAGAUAGGUUUGGAUGAAUCUAAAUGACAAUUGUACUUAUAUGUCCUAUAAGUAUACAAAAAUGGCUUGUAUAACACAUUUUAUCAUCCUUUGUUCUUGUUUGUGAUGAUUUUCGGUUUCACAAUCGUUUAUUUUCCCGUAAAAUGAUUAUAUUCUGACGUCAUAGAUUUAUGACGUCGAGUAGUUCAUUCAUAAAAAAGCAUAUGACGUGGGAGUACGAUCGGAACAGCCCAAACAAUAUAUUCAUAUUUUACCAUGGGUGUGUACUCAAAGCAUUUGAAGGACGUCAUGUUAGAAUAUAUGAUAAUAAGGCUUGAUUUAAUUUGUAUUCAUGUAUUGUGAUAUACCUUUGGAUAUGUUUAUACAAAAAUGAGACAUGAAAAAUUAAUUUAAAAUAAAAUUUCAAAUAGAGUGACAAUCCUGGGUGGUAUAAGUAUCGAAUGAAAAUGUCUUUAACAAAGCAUCUUCCACUGCAUAUGAGAUACGAAUGACAAUAAGGAACACAACGUAUGAAAAGUAAGAAAUACUUUCUGUGAUCUUAAAGAUCAACCUUGUAGGAUAAAUUGAUAUAAUUGGCCUAGACUCAGUGAUAUUUGCUGACAUGUCAUUGUAAACCAACCUUCUAACACUGCGUUUACAAAAUAUAAAACCUUUCUCAAAAAGUUAUUUUCAAAUGCAAUGAAUAUAACAAGUGUUUUUCAUCUAAAUAUUUCAAUUUUGAAGUUUCUUAUCGAAAACACCGUAUAAGUAUCGGAUUAUUUGCUCAAUAGACGGAACAAGAAAGCAUUAACAAUUUUGUUGACAGAUUUACAAUUGCGAAUUGUUUGAAAUGUUUGUUAACAGAUAAUAAACAUCAAACGUAUUGAGAUAAAUUUGGAACAAAUUCGGUAUGUCAAUAUACGAAAAAGAUUCAAAACAAAAGCAAUGUUACAGACAGUGAAGGAGACAAUUACACAUAGUAUUGAAUAAUACGUAUUUCAAUUUUUUGAAGUAUAAGUUCGUGUAGCAUAUCCGACCUAUCAAUACCACAAGUAAAACGUAUGUCAGUUCGUCUUGUGGUCGAUCUUAAACAUAUAACUAUAAGUGAUAAAAAAAAAGAUAAUUUGUGUGUACUACAGACCACAGUUUUCCCUUUGAUUCACUAAUGUGUCAUGGAGUCCAAAUAUUCACAGCCAUCCCGUUUCUCGUUUUGAUCGUAAUCACGAAUCAAAGAUAUUUCUUAUAAAUAACAUAUUGAGGUAACGUAUCAGCCGUUAUGUAAGCAUUCGUCGUUAGUAUCGUUAUGGUGCCCGGAAUGCCUGAAAUAAUUGACUCUCUAGUGUUAUCUGAAAUAUAUAGAUUACCACCCCUACUUAAAAAAUAAGAUUGUCUUUUUUAUAAGUGUGGCAUUCCUAUAGAUUCAUAUGAACUUGAGCUCCAUCCUUGUUAUAUUUUAGUUCUAUAAUCAAUAUUUAGUAAACAAAGACUAAAACACUUUGUAUUAUCUUUUGUUAGAACAUUUUGUGACAAAUAAAACAGUAACUAUAAAUAAAGUUAGUUGUGAGCUAAACAUUAUUUACACAAAAAAAAAGAUGAGGUUCCGUAAACGUUUACCGAUCAGCCACUAUCCAAUAUAAAUAAUAUAAAGACAUAUACAGCGAACAACUUACAAAUGUUAAUCUGUGAAUUUACCGACUAAUAGGAACAAAUAAGCAGAUUUCAUACUGAUGUUUUGUUGUUGGGUUAAUGUUGCUCAUUAUUGAGUUUUUUUUGUAUUAUUCGAUGGAACUGUUUUUCUUUUGUCGUUCUUUUUUUUUGUAAAUGGUGCAUGGUAUUAUCCGUUUUUCUGAAAAAAAAUUUUUAAACGUUAUAAAAUAUACGGUAUCUGGACAAAAUAUCUCAAACAAAACCUAUUGUGAUAUGACAAAACUCAAGUAGUAAUGAGGUUCGUGAUGUGGUAUCAACACAAGCAUGUAUAAGAACAUUUAGAUAUAAAGAAGCUGAUGAAUUGAGGCGACAGUUGUGUAUUUAGGUUCAAAUCCUUAAAAGCAAACAGAGCUUACAUGCAGAAUAUUGUUAAGCUACAAUAAAUUACUAAAAUAAUAAUAUUAAUAGAUAAAGACAUUUCAAUGCAUCAACGAAGAAAAUGCAUAACUGGUAAGGCGACAAACUCGACGACGUGCGAAUGAUACAAUGUGUGGGCACAGCUUAUUAAAAAAAAACCAGAUCAAGCGUCAAAUGACAUGGGUUAUGUAAUCCCACCAUCAUAAUUGCAAAGAAUGUUGUGAUAAAAUUUAUAUUUUACUCAUUUCUGUGCGUUUUCAAAUAAUGUAAGUGACUUUUAACGGACAUAGUGGUAUUCAAUUGACCGAUCUAAAUGAAGGAUAGGCAAAAUAUGUGCUAAACAAUUAAAUGAAAGGAAAGAAAAAAAAAAUGAAACGGGUCUUAUUUUAAUAAUUUUCAAAUUUUGAAUUAUCCGACUUUUUACACUAGAAGUUUUAUCCCUAUCUAGGUCAGGCGGUAUUUACAGUCGUUUUUGAGUUGUUUCAAGAUUUCAAGUGUGUAUUAUUUUUUUUAUAUUUUCAUAUACGAUCUUCACUAAAGAGACAGUAAUUGUCAGAAUGCGUAUGUGUUUCAGUAACCUUGGAACCGUUAUUAGCAGUGUUAUCAACAUUCGAUCAAAUUAUCUUCUUGGGGAUUUCUUUCCUAUCAUUUUACGCUUUAAAUCUUCGAUGAUAAUUGAAUUUGUUGAUAAUAGUUAAUGUAUCACCAAAUUCUUGACUUUGUAUGGCAUGAAGGUAUGCUUUAACAUUCACAGCCGAUUUCAUUGUGUGUGUGUAGAGAAAGGUAGAAUCCUUGGUUAGCUUGCUUGUUAGCUGAACCGUGAAGCCAUUAUUAAGUAAGGUAUACUACCCUCCUUUCGAAGUAGUCUAGCCUAACAGACAGAUAGUCAAGUUAUCUAUCGGACUAUUCUACUCGUAAAGGAGGGUAUUUCACCUAACGUAAUAAUGACUUCACGGUUCAGCUUACAAGCAAGCUAGUCAAGGAUUCUACCUUUCCCUACAAUUUCAAUGAAAUCGGCUGUACUAUGUAUUUGUUGUGAUUGUUUUCGCGUUAAAGUAAAGAUUAAAUUUAGCUCGCGUGUCAGUUAGAAAACGUCUAUAUUGUCCAAUUUUCUUACGAUUUAUUCAAUACUUUUUAAUUCAAACUGGACAUCCCAAUGCGAACUCUUUUGCAAAAAAGGAAACAUUUCUAUUUCCGUUCUUUAUUAAACCAAUAUCCUUGAAUUCCUUAUUGUACACAUCUCCAACAAAAUAAUCAAUGUUUCAAGGAAACGUGGAGUUUAGGGAAAACUUUAAAGUACGCUGAAAUGUAAAAAGGAAAAAUAAUAUCUGAUUUGAGUUGAUUUUCAUCAUGACGACAAAUAUAAUUAUUAAAUUAGACAAUAUUGCACAUGGUUAAAUAACGGCUCUUUCAUAAUUACAAUUUCCAACUAGGAUUUAAAAUCUGCAUUAUUGUAUUUGCCAUACUCCUCCAAUUAUAACGAUUAUGAAAGCGACAAACCAUGCUUCAUUACACGGCAUAUAGAGAUGAAAAGCAUGUAAUUCACUACAACUUCAUAAUAUGUUUACAUUUAAUAUUAUUAACAUGAAAUAAUAUUGUAAUUGCUAAUAAAAUUGUAAUAUGUAACCCAGAAAGUUUACUUUUAAGUGGUGAUAUACAAUUACGUUCAAUUUUAUAUGUUCAUUUCGUGUUAAACUUUCACAUGCGCAGGACACAAAGCAACUGCUAAUAAAUCUAUCAAUAAACAUAUGGUUUUGAGUCUAUUACUGUCUUUUUGAAAGCUUUACAUUGCAUCUAUAAAAUGACUUAUGGUAUUUUAUCCCAUACAAAUGUUGGAAGAUAGAAUUGAGUAGGACAAAAUAAGCUGAACAGAGAUUAUAACUUAUCGAUCAAAAUAAUGAUGAUACAGCGAACAGUUCAAAUUAAAGUCGAACUUUACAUUCAACUAUAAAAAAAAAACCAAUUUAAACAACUGUCUGUAUAGCCCCUCAAGAUAACAAACAAAUAAAUCAGAAAUAACCCUUUUGGUAGAAUAAUACAACUGAGGAGACCAAACUAAGAAACAAAACUAACAGGUUUCAUGAAAUUUAAUGUAUUCAUAAAGCCACACACAUGACCAAAGGACAUAAACAAGUUGGAUGACAUCAGUCUAGUGAAGGAUCAUUGUAUUUUUUGGGAAUGAUACAACGUCUCCUAAUUUUAACUUGAGUUAUCAUUAAAUAUGAUAAAACACUGUGAAAUAAAGAUGUCGUAUAGAUUGAUAUUACUUUGUGGUUAGACUUGGUAACUGUCAUAUGAGUCGGGCAGACGGACAAUCAACAGUCUAAAACUUUCUUAAGUUGGAUAUAAGCAUUGUUAUUGAAACAAAUUCUUAGUGAAAAUAACAAAAAUCAGUUUGCUGACUUUCCGUUUUUGAAUUUUCUCCGGAGUUUGGUAUUUUUUUUUUUAUUUGACUUUUUAAUGUAAAUUAAAAAUACGAGAUUAAUCAGCAAAAUAGAAGAGGAACUCUUAUUUCAUGUUUAACAAUAACGAUGAUUUUAUGACGUUAUUUUCUUCCCUAAAUAACACGAAAUUAAUCAUCUAGAGGCUUUUAUUAUAAAGUGAAAUGUUUGCAGGAUUUAAUGUGUGAAUACUUAUUGUUUUAGAAAUUGAUAGCAAGAUAACUAAUGGUUUUGAAUUUCUGCUAACAAUAAAGUAUAUGUCUACUAAUGCCUUUUGCUACAAUGUCUAUAUUUUCAUUUCAGUAUUGUUUGGUCAGCAUUUUGUUUAAAAAAACCUAGACAUGCAUGUAUUGUUCAAUAAUUAUAUUUCGAAAUUAUGUUUACAAAUAUAUAAGUUCCCCAUUGCUCUGUAAGUUAACUGAUGAUAACCUUGCGGAAUCAAAUUCACACUUAUAUUUCAAAAAUUGUUUUCGAUGUUUUAUGUGCAACUUUGAAGACGUAGUUUAAUCGAAGGUUCACUUAUAGCUUAUGAUUUAGUUAAAACUGCUGAAACUUAACCACGCGUACAUACUUAUAGAACUUCAGAAGCCGAUCAAAAGCUGUGAGAGAAGCCGAAUAGUUUCUCCUCGUCUCUAAAAAUAUCAAAUUGUUGAAAAAUAUAUGAUAACAGCAUUGAUACCGUGCAAUUUGAUUAUAAAGUUUAUUAAAUUAUGUACUCGCAUGACUUUCUGAUCUGUAUAGAAUUUAAUAGGAGUUUCAGUUGUUGAUAUUAUAGAGAUAUCUUGUGUCUAGAUAUAUCCAAUUCAUUUACACAAAAUUAAAAAACAGACAGAAAGAUAACACUUUUCGAUUUUAAAUAUAUAUGUUUUGCGCCUAGUAUAUCAAAUUUAAUCAAAACAAUAAUUUUUGUAACAUGAUAUAGAUUUUGACAAAAUCCAUAGUAAAAUGCAACAACAAAGUAUAGAAUAACACAUCAAAGAACAAUACUUGUUCAUGCAUAGAAUUGUGCGUUAAUCACUGUGAAUAUACCUUUGUUUGAUUUUUCUUUCUGCUUGGUCGAACAGUCUUCUAUAUUUAUCCUGCAAUUAACCAACUAUUGUACAAAUAACAGGUAGCUUUACCAAUAUUUUUGGCUUUAUUUAUACUUGUACAAAUAAAGUCUCCUUUUAUCCCACUUCCAUGUUGAGCAUGUGCGAAUUUAAAACGCGCAAUUUUACACCAGUACUUAAUACCUUCCAUCCUUUACGGUGGAUUUUACAUAGGUAAAUAAAAUCGUAUAAUAUAAGCGAAAUGAGGAUGUUUAAUUUGAUGUAUGCCUUUUUAUGCUUCUUCGUUACAUUUGUUGUUUUUAUAGUGAUUAAGAUGAUAACACAAUGUUGACUACUGUACCCCUAUUUUUGACAUCUUUACCUAUUGUGUCUGUUUGUUUUGUUCAUGCAUCCUUGGCAAUAUAAUGGUAUUUGAUGCGACUGUAAUACAAGUGAGAGGUUUAGCUAGCUUUAAAACCAGGUUCAAUCCACCAUUUUCUACAUAAGACAAUGCCUGUACCAAGUCAGGAAUAUGACAGUUGUUAUCCAUUCGUUUGAUGUGUUUGAACUUUUGAUUUUGCCAUUUGAUUGGGGAUUUUCCUUUUAGAAUUUUCCUCAGAGCUCAGUAUUUUUGUGAUUUUACUUUUUGAGCAAGCGGUCAUAAGAAUAUUUCUGUUACAUAACCAGUUCAUUUUGGGGUCCUCUUCGCGGUUCUGUGAGAAAUUAGAGACAAUGAUUUAAAAUAAUAACUAAAGUUUCAAGUGUUGGAGGAGCCUCGCUUUCGUCUUGUUUCUAAAGCUUCUCAUACAAAUACAUUUAAUAUUUUCCGACAAUAUGCACAUAUUGUAUAUUUAUGUUACAAUUAUAAAAAGAAAUUAUCAGAUUUACAUUUUUGAUAAAUCGAUACUUUGUUAAUCAAAAUCGAGUUUGAUUAAAAGAUUAUAAAGUUUGAAACACAAGAAAAUGCCAUUUUCUAUCGAACAAGUUCUCGGUGGUUUAGCAAUGCUGAACAGUUUUGCAAGCAGUUGCCUAUCAUUUUAAUUACCUUCUUAUUGGUAAAAUCCAUUUAAAUUUGGGAUGCAUUAGAUAAAGAAUGAAUAAUUAUUGUGCAAGGGGCCAAUAUUUUAUAAAGAAUGAAAAUUAUCUUACAAGAAUAGUUUGAAGAUAAAAAAAUUGCAAAUCUAAGAGACAGUAAUACUAACGAAAACAUAAAUAUAGCAUUGAUCAUCCUCACACCGCCGAUAACUUCCGUUUAUGAGUAAAAUCUGGCCAUUCGUAUGAAGUAUUGCAUUCAAGAAUAAUGAAAUAAAUCCUAUAACGACUUUUUGUAAACAACGCUAAUAGUCGUCAUCUGUAUAUUGAAUAUCACAUUAUUGACAUACAGUGAUGGACACUCCCAUGCCUUAUAUCUAGACGGCUGUAAGUCCUUCUGGUUAAUCAAUGACUAUAAUUAUAUACUACGGACAUUAACGAACGACUUCACCCCAACUAGAUAAAAAGGUGACUUGGGAAACAUAUGAAUACAGAAAUUCACCAACAAGAUAAUUCAAGGGAAAUAAAACUGAUGUUUUUACAAACAGGAGAAGAUAUACACCAAUAUUGAACCCUUACAACCUAUCCCUUAAAUAUGUGAAUAUUGCCUACUAGCAAAAAGUAAAAUCACAAAAAUACUGAAUUCGGAGGAAAAUCUAAUCGGAAAGUCCAUACUCACAUGGUAAAAUCAAAUGUCAAAACACAUCAAAAAACGAAUGGACAAAACCUGUCAUAUUCCUGACUUGGUACAGGCAUUUUAAAAUGUAGAAAAUAGUGGACUAAACCUGGCUAACGUCAGAAUAGAUAUCAGAUUCCACAGAAGAGAAAUGCUAUUAUAUAUAAAAAUAGAAGAUGUGGUAUGAUUGUAAAUGAUACAUCUCUCCACAAAAGACAAAAAGGACACACAAAUUAACAACUAUAGGUCACCGUACGGACUUCAACAAUGAGCAAAGCCCAUACCGAAUAGUCAGCUAUAAAAGAGUUUGCUAUCGCAAUACAUGUCGUUUACAAUUAAAUUUACAACAAUGCCGGUAUAUUAAAAUGAUAAAAUAACAAUGCAAUUUCACAUCGUAAUUUUGUCUGGGAAAAUACACGCUUGUGAAACCAAAAAUCAUCAAAACAAAUGAACUGAUGCUAAAAUGUGAUAUCAGCCAUGUUUUUAAUCAUGUAAGACAUUUAAGUAAAAUAUCAUUUAAAUGCAUCCAAAACUCUCUUAAUACGUUAUUGUAAAUAGUUUAAGCAUGUCACUAAUUCAGUUUACUCCGUUCUUGUACGCCAACUUAUAAGGGCGUUUAUUUAUGGGAACGGCAAAUAUUUGCCUUCACCUAGAUCCAUGAGAAUCCAUGAAAAUUGCCGUAUUUGUCCUAUUAGAUCGAAAUAAGUAAUGGGGGCUUGAAUAUAUCAAGUCCCCAUGAAUUAUUUCGUAAUUUUACUUUCUUGUCUAUUGAUAAAGACCCUUAGUUAAACUGUAGAUAUAUCUUACUUUUUGUGACGUUAGGAUGCUUUAUCAUAUAUUUGAAUCCAUAUCAUAUAUCAUUGUAUCAUUUUUUAACAAUUUAAGCAAGGCCGUUGGUUUUGAAAAUUGAUUUCAUAAAGAAAAGAAAAGCAGUGUGCACCACGACCUUAUUUAAUACACAAGGUUUAUUUGGGCACAAUACUUUAAUGAAUGAAAACGAGAUUUAGUAAAUUGUUUAUAAUCAAUUCAAACGAGAAAUGUCAUUUCUAAAAUACAGAAACAAUUUUUAUGCAAUUAUAUUAUAAUUCAGUAUUUUCAUUAACCAGGAAAUAAUGAGUAAAAAGAUAAGUCAUUAACCUUUACGCUUUAAUAAUUAUACAAAUUACAUUACCAUAAAACAAACUUAAUUUGAAACAAUACUGGUGCAACAAGGUUAAACAUAACAUAACUUCUCAAUAUUAUGGUUUUAUAUGUGUACCCUAGUUAUUAGCUAUAUAGGUCUUAGAUAUAAUUUUUUAUAAGUUAAAAAUGCAGAUAAGUAUUUAUCAUUAUAUUUAAAUAGGAUAAAUGUGGUAUACAUAUACGGGUUUUAGAUUGAUUAUGUGGUUAAUUAUCUCUGUCUGUUAUGAUUUAACAAAUAUAGCUGCUCAUUGAUUGUCGUAUUUUGAAGCCGUUGUUAACCGAUUGUCACCUUAUAUUAAAACAAUCAACAAAGAAGCAUGGAUAUUGAGUACGUGUAUAACAUGUACAACCAAAAAAUAGUUUAUUUAAAUGAGAGAUUUAUGCGUAUUGCGAUCACCGGAUUUUUCCAAGAAGGGUCAAGCUAAGAUCACUUGCAUACGGAAAAUAUUUCGGCGAAUUGCUUCCUGGAAGCAUGAAUUGAGAAAAAGAAAACUUCUUCCAAAUGAGGAAAAAUUAAAGAAUAUUUAAAAAAAAAAGUAUUUCUGCAGAAGUUUUAUAAUGAAAACUAUCCAUUUAGUUUUAAAAAAAAACAUAUGCAUAAUUUCUUUUUUUUUAAUGUUCGGUUUCAUAUGACAUUAAACGAUAUAGAGUGGAAUCAUAUAUACACUAUAGGUAAACUUAUAAUUAAUUCAAUAUGAUCAAAUUAGCACCAAAUAUUUGUUUCGAAGACUGUGAAGUCUAGGAGUAAAAUUAAGAUAUGAGGCGCCACGACAAACAUGCGCAUAUAAAAAGAAAUUUGGAAUACACUCUGCAUUAUAUGAACUUCAGUUCGUUACAGCUGGGGAUCAUUAAUGCAAAUCAAUUAUUUAGUCGUUUCAUCUGAAAUAAGCUAUUAAAUUCAGAUAUUUUUUUUAUUGUCAAAACAUCAUCAUCAUGUAAAACUAGGAUCACACAUACUUUAAGAUGGAUAUCGAUAAAGGCAGUCAUUUCCGAUAAAAAAAACUUAUAUAUUUACAUAAUUUGGAUCACUUAGAAAGAGCAUAUCACUGAACAAGGACGAAUAUAGUAUUUGGUACCUCUUAAAAAUCACCUGGUCGAUAUCACGUCUAAUGGACGUUACGUCUGCAAUGGUAUCACACGUUCAAUAGUCUUUAAAUAUGGAGUAUCUUUGAUACGGUGUUUUCUGUAAAUUUACAAAGAGAUUAACAAAUGGCUUUUUCAAUGUCAUGUAGAGACCCCCCAUACCAUCCCGGACCAACAUGUAAAAAGUCAUGUAUUUAUCUCUUUAUUAUAUAUUUCCGACAGUUAUUUUAGGUAAGGCAAAUACACAAAUGGAAAUAACUAUAUCAAAAUAGUCAAAAGCUUCAUAAAGAGGUUAGAUUAUUUUUCUCUUAACUGUCUAUUAAUUGAUGACUGUAUGGUUUUUAGCGUUUCAUUGUGCUUAAUCAUAACUGCAUGCUGAAUUUUCGAUUUACUGCUGUUUGCAUCGAUCACCAGAGUGUUAGGAUAAUUUACAGAACAUUCAUAUUUAUAACUGCUACGCAAUAAUACUUUGAAAUGAAAAUUCUCGACUUAACUCAUAUAGCCUUAUAGGAAGUGUACUGCUUCUUUUCUUAGUCAUACUAGGAGUUGUGUUUAUUUAUCUAGACGAUAAGUUUUCUGAUGAUUUGCAACAUUGAUAUUUAAAUAUUUUUAUUCGAAUUCUUCUUCACACGUGAACAGAAUUUAAUGAAAAAGAUCACAUUUCUUUAAAACCUGCUGACACAACUGUUUUGUUAUCAAUCUUAACCCAAUACGGAAUACAGUUUUCUUGUAUUUAAUCAGUUUUAAUUUUAAUCCAUCUAGAAUUUUAGAACGGUGACAACAGAUCACACAGGGAAGGAAGCCAAACUUUAAACAUCUAAUACAUGAGCGUAUAAUUAAUUUUCCAUAGUUUUUUAAUUUUAAAAUUUACAAUGUAUUAGUAAUCAGUUCAAAUAUCCAUUCCAAAGAUUUUCAAAAAAUAUAAAUUUUUACAUUAAGGCGAAGUGUACGUAAUUAAACUACACAAUGGAUUUUUUUAAAAAUUUUACAUGUAGAUUCUGCUUGUAAAAAUAAAUCGGAAAAUAAAAUAAAAAAAAGGGGGUAACCGUUUUCGUUUUUGAGAUACGAGCUGUUGAAGUUAACAGCAUCAUACACCAAAAUUACAAAGGAUAUAUAGGGAAAAUAGUGAAAUUCGGCAGGAAUUGUUACAUUUCCAAGAUUUUCUACUAUAUUAGACAAUCAAUUUUUUUUUAAAUUUAUGAGACGAUUCUAAAAUGUCUGAGGAAUCGAUUGGUGCAAAGAAAGUCCUUAGCUACCGUGCUACUUUUCAAGCUAUACCCUGUUAAAGUUGAAUUUUGAGUGUAAAAAAAAACAAAAAACAACGACAACGUUAUUGACGUCGCCGCAACAGUUACGACGUUUCAUAUAUAGUCCUAUACUUGUAUGAAAUAUAUACCGUUUUGUUGGAGUUCGUGUUGCUCGGUCUUUAGUUCUUUAUGUUACGUUUUGUGAACUAUUGUAUUGUAUUUGUCUAUUAUAUUCGGGUGCGUGCGGGGAUCGCCAAGCUAGAAAACGGUUGACAUUUUCUUCAUUAUGAAAAUAGAACUAUUUUCGACCUUGGUGCCUUAUUUUUUGUUAAAAUCUAAACACUGCGACGUGUUUCCAAAAUCUUUGUUCCCAUAAAACUUCAUUUCAUCAAGGUCUCUUCUCAGAAUAUCAGCCAUCUGUCUGGCACAGGAUAACAAAUCAAUAUUUAAGUAAAUUUAAGUUGUGUGGUAAUUCUUAGUACAUUUGGGUAAAUUAAUCUAUUCUUUGUGCCGCAUAAGCAUCUCUAUAAUUCAACACAUCCCUGAGCCACGACAUUAUAUAUUUUAUGCAUUGCAUGCGCUUCUUUUUAUCACAAUCCAGACCGGCUAGUUACCGUUGUAUAACUUUACACGUCUGAAGACGAAUAUUUGCGUGAAACAUUUUUGUAUGAUUUUUAUUUAAGAAUUGAAUGCUUCUUUUUGUAAAUUUAUUGGGGUGUAAAAGCGUUGACCGAAGUACAUUUUGUUAGAAGCGCUUCCGCGCUUCAUUCUAAAAAUGUGCGCACGAUCAACGCUUUUACAACCCUAUAAUGUUACAAAAAGAAGAAUUCUAUACUUAUAAUUACAUUUUUUUAGGUAUGAUCAUGAAAACACGAAUUUUAUAUAUUUUUUUAUUUAAUUCACCUGUGCACUUUAUUGUUGGACCACGUGUUAUCACGAAUGAAAAGUUGUAUUGAGCAAAGCAACAGAAUAACACGUGAUGUGCAGUUAGCCAAUCAGAAUAAAGUAUUAUAAUGAAACAUACAUCUAAUGUAAUUAUUUCUGGAAAUCAAUCUGAAAUCUACAACAGUCCAUUUCCGAAAGUCGGGCUGGACCUUUACUUUUAUGUGCAUUUGGGAUUUACACAAAUUGUAACCCGAAUAAUUCAGUCGUAUUAUUCAGCUGAUGUACGAAUGCUACAUUUCUCGUGUGGGAGAAAAUCGGACAUGGAAAGGGCUUGAAUUAUUCGAGUUACACAAAUUGGAACUCGGGAAUAUAUUUCUAGCUGUUCGGAAUUCGCGGAAACAAAUGAUUGUUUUUUCGGCAUUACGGUAUUGAAUCAAUAGAGAUACCAAUUAUUUCUUUUAACAAAUUCGAAUACCAGUCAGUUUAUAGGACUUCAGUUUGAAAUAGGGGCGGCAAUCCAUUCAUUUUAUCCAAUCAAUUGGAAAGGGGGGGGGUCAACAUUGAUAGUCAAAAAGCCUUGAAAUAUUCGAUAAUAAACGUUGAAUGUAAAUUAUAUGAACUCCAAAGUCUCAUAUUAUAAGACUAGUAAACCACAGGCUUCUCAAUUCUUGUAUGAUCAUGAACUAGGUGAAAACCUAGAGCUGACCGAGUGCGAGAUCCUCAUGGAUAAUAAUCGAGGUCGUUAAACACCCCUUGCAGUAAACUUUGGUUAAAUUUUUAAAAAAAUCGAAAUGUUAUAGUCUGAACACAUUUCACCUCUCAUUCCACUAAAUAUUAAAUUGCAGUUACAAGUAUCACAAAACUUCCAUGACCUCUUUUCUUUAACCACAAUAGAGGGAGGAGGGAUUCCCGAAGGAGGGAUCCAGAUCCCGAAAUCCCGGGCUUAAAAACACGAAAUCCGGCGAGGUCCCGAAUUAAAAAAAAAUUAAAUCCCGACUACCCGAAAUUCGGAAAUAGAACUCCCGGAUCCCGAAAGGGUCAAUCCCGAAAUCUCGAGCUUAAAAACACCCGAUCCCGGAGUUCCGAUAAAGGUCCUACCCUCCACCCUCCCGUAAUUCUAUAUUCUAUUCAUUCGUAAUCUUGAAUUGAGACUUGAUACUUCAAAAUUACAUUCUCUAAUUUUGAAUGAUGCACACAGGCACAAUAAAAGAAAACAGAUUUCGCUAUAUAUCUCUUCGAAAUUGGAAUUUGUGAAAGAAGAAAUGACAUGUUAUAUUUUUUCUUACAUGUGUACUUUCAAUUUCAAUAUGGUUUUAAAUUUAGAUUUAGUUUUCCCAUAAAUUGCGGACGGAAUAGAAGACACCUGUUUAUUUUCUGCACAUGUAGAAAAAGUUGAAAACUGGGAGUUGAAUGACAUUAUUUUUACUUAUUUUAAGAUAAAUGCUAGAGUGAGACAAUUUUUAAGUUACUGAGUAAUUUUUGGGGCAUAAUUUGUUUAUUUUUUGUUUGUUUUCCGUCUUUGUUCUUCCGACUGGUAAGUUUGGCACUAGUGGUCAAAUUAUUCUCUUGGUAUCGUCUGAUUUCUUAUAUGAAUAUAAAUCAUGUCCUUAAAUUUUCAAUUGCACAAAAUACGAACAUUUCAACGUCUUUUUUUAAAUAAACAAUUAAAUUCACACGUCUUUCAUUAAUUAUUUGUAACCUAUUAUAAAACUUUACGUUGAGUACUGUGUUUUUCGUUCAAGACUACGGCUUUUUAAAACGAUAUUGUUGGGUCAAUUCAGGUUUCAUUUUAAUUAAUUUGAUAUCAACAGAAGAAAAAUUGUUACAUGUUUAUUUGUUUAUUUGUUUAUAAUUUUUUUGUGAGGCGUUUUUUCUUUCUGUUGAUAUCCGAACACGAAAUACGCGUCUAAAAAAACCAAAAAAACAGUGUUUUUAAGUCAGGCUGCACACAGAACAACGUACAGAAUGCUGUGAUUUCUAAUUGGAGUUAUUUAGAUAAUUUCUAUGAGGUUUAAGACAGCACAGGCGUGCUUGUUGGAUUCAUUAUAGACCGCAGAAAGUAGUUUCUCUUUCGUGUGUCCUUUCUUGGAGUAAGGGAGAUAACUUGCGUAACUAACGACGAACGUUUUUAAUCCCGUAUUCCGCUAGAGGCGUGCAAUUACGUACACUUCGCCUUAAGUGUAAAGUACAAAUAAUUAAGAAAAUGUAAAUAGCAUUUCAAUAUGUAUAGCAAAAAAACUUUGUCGUACAAUGUAGUUAAUAUUAAAAAGGUUAUGACGAACACACAAUAUAAAAUUGUUUUGCAUAAAACCACAAUGUAAUGUGUUAACUGUCAUUGACGCUGCUUUAAAUGCCUUUCAUUAUUUAAAGAUACGUUUAUUAACGGAGUUAUAUUCUCAUUAAAUGUAUUUUAAGAAGUUCCGAACUAAUUUUGGUAUGUUGUGUUUAUACUCCAAUUCACAAUAUGUAUAUAUAAAUGUAGUUCAAAAUAACGGUUAUUACACCCUCAAAAUGGUUAAAUGGAUUAGAAAUAGGACUAUAACUAGCAGAGACCAGAAGAGCAAUGAAUGCCAGGGAUUUAAGGGGGAAGAGAGAUGGACAAAAAUACACAUUUAAAAAAUUCAUCAAUAUAUGACUAUAUAAACCUGUGUUUCGCCUCUCGCAGCUGUAAGCUUUUUCCGGCUACUAACAAACACCUUGUAACUGAUACGACCUGUAAUGGCAUUAUAUAUUACUUUAUUUUAAAUGAAUGUUAGAAUAAGAACACAAAAAAAGGGACCUUCUUUCUUUUACAUUCUCAAUGCUCCUUAACUUUGUACUUUGUCUGGUAUUUAACUUUCAUGAUAACAGCGUCACUAAUGAGUCUUUUUAAAACGGAACGUGAAUCUGUGGUACAAAAUAUGCAUGCUAUCUAUGAUUAGAAUUUACAACCACCUACUUCAUGCCACUGUUGGUAGAUUUUCUGAAACGUUGGCAUCACUAGCCUAGAAGUCAAGUCACCUGUGUUGUCAUAAAAUAUAAUUAAAACGAGAAUUUUCUUUAAAGUUACUGUUUAUAAAAUGUUGAAAUAUUCGAAACACUAAGAUAUUUUUCCUUACUUAUGUGUUUUGGCAAAACUGUUUUGAAUUUAUGUCUUUAAUGAACAAAUAAUCACAGGGCCCCACUACUAGACGUGUAGUCCUUGCGUGUAUCAUCAGGCAAGUAGUCGAAACUAUUGUGCCAAAAUUGCAAAAGUUAUAAAACGAACAAGUUUUUGUAAUCAUUGUUUACAAAAUGUUUUAUUAUUUGAAUCAUUAAAAUGCCCCCCCCUUUUAUUCAGGUAAGUUCCUAAAGCGGUAUUUGACACAACGUGUCUCGGAUUUGUGUGUUUCAAUUGUCGUUUAAGUGCAUUAAAUACAGCAUACCUUUUAAGCAUUUUAUAGAAAUGUGUGCCCAACGUACUGAAUUAUAUCCCUUGUAUCUUUGAUUGGUGUUUAGCUCUUUUAAAGAGUUGAACUUGAUCAUAAGCUAUUUUAGACCGUGGAGGAUUGAGGGCAUAAUAUAAUGUAUAGACACCAGUAAAUUGUUAAAAACUAUUUAAACCAUUACGACAUCUCCUGAUCAAAGACGAAAAUCCUACAUUUCGUUUUAGUAAUUGAAUUUAACUCUUUAAAAGGGGUCAAUUUUAACCGACUCACGGUAUUUAUCCUAGUCAACCACCGUAUACGGCGCUGCACUUGACACAUAUAGCUAUACCAACCUCUGCAUACUACUAAAUAAGCUUACAUGUAUAUAUAAAUUUUGAUAAAGAAAACAAUGCUUAAUUUGAAAUCGAUUAACUGGAGAUAAGUUAGAUUAUAAUUGCGUAAUAGCAAUUCCUAAGUGGUCACAUCUAAUAAAUGAAUAUUAGAUGAAUAACUGAUUCUUUCAUUACCUGUUUACAUCAGUGAAAUCCCAAAUCUCUUUAAGAUUUGAUUCAUGUAAAUACUGCGACUAACUAUCUUCAUGAAAAAGGUUGGAUUAAUGUUCGUGGAAAAAGCAAUACAGCUAUGAUAAAAUGAAAAUGAAAAAUUAGGCUAUAAUGGGAAACAAGGGGUUUAACAGCAAAGAGAAGUAAUUUACAUGAUUUAAUAUGAUAUGUGAUGAAGAUAUUUUUAUUAGAUAACAUCUCAAUGUACUUUAUAGACUAUGAAAUGGAAAUGUUUCAGUAGAAUUUACAUUUGUGAAGAGAGAUGAUUUCUGAAUGAGAGUCCAGGGAUAUAAUUGUGUGUCUCUAUACAUUGAUAUCAUUGUUUUAACACAUAACUGUUUCGUCCUUGCCAACAUUCAAUUUGUUGUCGAUACCUUUUUUAUCAUAACUGAACUAUUGCAGUGGUCGGUUAUUUUGUCGUGUUUUUUGUUUGUUCAAACUAUGUAAAUAUAUACAAACAAUUUGUUUGUUUGGAAAUAAAUAAAAUCCGACAUUAGCUUGUUUUUCAUUUGUCCAUGAUAAAAAGUUUAACAUACAUUUGUGUUUCUGAACUCUGUUAUGGCAAUUAACUCUUCAUGGAAGUCAUUGCACUCUAAUCCUCUCUAUAAGAUCAGUAUUUAUAUGAAUUUAACGGGUUAACAAUGUGCUGUUAUUUCCUGAACAUAUACUUUAUAGAUUAUCUAUAGUUCAUUCUAAUAUAAAGUUAAGAGGAAAAAAUGGGACAAUACUAUUAAAUAAGUCAUUUUAUAAGUGAUUAACAAGGAACAAAGAGCUUUAAUAUUAAUUCUAAAUCAAUCCGACAUUUUCAUGGUUUUGCAUACAUGUAUCCGUCUGACGCAACAGACAACGAUAUGAAAUCGACCAAUGCAUGUCAUUUUCAUUGCUUUGUUUUGUGUUUUUUUGGCUUUUUAUGUACUGAUUUUUUGGAUUAAACGGUCACGUCAUAUCCUUUCUUUUUAUUAAGAUACAGAUUAUGCGGUCUUUUAAAACACAAAAAUCAAAUUUAUAACGACUAAUCAAUAAUUUUUUUUAGUUUGACACUAGAAAGUUUUUUAUGAAACGUUGACCAAAAACAUUUCAGGAAAAAAAAACAUAAAGAUAAAAAUUUCGACCCCUCAACCACAACUUGGGUAAAAAUAGAUGUUCGCUGACGCGCAGUAUUUUAGGCUAAAAUGAUGAUACCCGUCAGGUUUAUUUUAUUGCUACUUUUCUCAAUCGAAAUGAAGAAAAUCCCGUCGGUUUGGUCCAUAUUGUAUAUUUUAUAUCGGUAUAGACGUGUUUUAUAUGGAUAAGAUAUCUCAAUUUAGGUAUUGCGCGAGGAUGUAAACGUGUGACAGGGUCAUCUAAUCAUUAAAUGUGUUAACCACGAUAAUAAUAUUAUCAAAUUGUCAUUGACAAUUAUACGACACAUUCUUCUCUUUAUUCAAAAGGAAAAUAAUGCUAACAUUUACAAACUGAACUGGAAAUGAAACAUUUGUUUUCCUUUUCACAGUAACCAAUAAGACUAUUGUCGAUCAACAAGUUAUACCUAUCUAACAAAUUAGUGGCAGCUAUCUGUCUUUUAUAAGAUUACUAUAUUUAGAAAAGUCUCUAGGAAGAAAUAUUGCGAUGGAUAUCACUUCUUGUAAAAUGAUUGUAGCAUUGAUAAUUUGUAAUUCAAAUAGUCUACCCAAGGAUACAUUUAUAAGAUAAUGGACAUUGAUAAAAAGUAGCAGAUAUAAAGUGUCAAAUUAUUUACUUUUAAUUUUCUUAGCCAUGUAUCCAAUAGAUCAGCUAAAUAAACACUUUGCGACACAUACAUGAAGAAUAUUACUUCACUUCAAGGUAACCAAAAUGUGCAAAACAAAGAUUAUUAUUAAAUCAUGUUGCUUCAACACAUUGAAUCUAUUGACUAGAAAGUGUUUUACACCCAUAAUUAAAAAGUAUAAAAUGAAAUAUGUAGAGUCUACUUCAAUGACAUAUAACCAAACGACAAGGUUAAAACAAAAUAUAAAAUCUAAAUAUUCAGACACGAUCUUGCGAAAACCCAGGACACUUGUUUGUACAUUAUGUUCUAAAUUAAGAGAAGCCAAUAGAUUCUUUAAAGAUUAACUCACAAAAAUAAAAUUUAAUCAAUAAUGAAGAUAUUUUUCCCAUAAUUAUAAUUUCCAUUAUUAAAUCUACGUUUAAGGCUUUCAAAAUUGUCGCCUCGUUGAAAUAUUGAACAAAUUUACUUUUUACAUAUAAACUAAAAUCGUCUUCAUAAGGAUGUGUUCACAACGAAAAAAGGCACAUUUUUUGUCUCAUAAUAAUAAAAUAAGAUAGUAAUAGAUCAUUAAAAGAUAUUUGCAUGAACAGAAAUUAUCGAAUUGAUAAAUAUGUCCGUGAUCAAAACAAUUAAUAGAUAGGAUUUAUAAUCGAUAUAAAAUCAAUAUACUACAUAAUUUAGAACCGAUAACACUAUAUUUUGCUUAUGCUGAAUCUCAAUGUAAGUAGCCAUAUUAUUCCUUAAGUAUCAUAACGUUCACAUGUUCUUAAGAUGACAGAAAGAAAACAAAGGACUUAUCCACAAUGUUGAAAUUACAGUUUACUUUAAUAUCCAUUUGUCCACAUUAUAUCAAUAAUUGCUGAAAGGUUACUGUCUAUUAAUUCCUUAUAAAGGCUAAUCCAAUAUAAUCCAAUUGCCGUUUAAUGAUUUUCUAAUGUCCUGCCAUCUUGUACAUUUGACAAAUUAAAUAUAAGCUAAUCCAUGCUAUAGAACAAAUUAACAAAAAGGAAAAAACAGAACAAGUAUUUCAAUGUAAAACUAUAUAUUAUUUCUUGAUUUGGAACGUUAAUUUUGUUAUAAAAGACUUUGAUUGAUAUCCUUAUAUUCUCUGUACAAUAACGAUCUUUAAUGAUCUUUGUUUUAAUUGCCGUUGCAGAAUCUAGAUCGUCGGAUAAUGUUAUUGUACCUACUCCAAUUAAAUUGAACAAAUACAUCAAAGAACCAAGUACAACAUUUUGAUAAAUAACUGUCAGUAGAAAAAUAUUGGUAAUCAGAAAAAAAAAUAAACCACAGACCAAAUGAUGUAGGUGUAAGAAAACAUGUGACAGAUUUGUAAAUGUUUAAUCUUUAAUAAAUCAUUUACAAACCAAAGUUCACACUAUAUCAGGCAAAGUUGAAACACAUUUCAAAUUUAAAUGUUAUCUUUAUUUCAUAAUACAUUGUCGAGUUAUUAAGAAAACCAGAUUGAAAACUUAAUCGGUAAUAGCCAAAUAAUAAAAAAAGGGGCGGUGAGAUCAAAAUUUAGGUUUAGUUUUGACUGAGUCUCUUAGUUUUCGUGCAAUCUAGAAAAUUUUGGAUCUCCAUUGUAUCUUCUAUUUUCCAUUUAUCAAAACAAUGGUUAUCCGUAUUCCGGUUACUUAUUUUAUUAAUUUGACUAUUUAUUAUAGGUAAUUUUGACAUAUAGCUCUUCAACGGUUUCGGUACUUAUCCAUUUUCGGAUUUCAAACGUUUGUCUUUGAGCGUUCCUGAUGAAGGUAAAUCCAGAAAAGCGCUUCGGACGCAAGAAAUUAUUUAACGUGUUGUUUUCAAUUUUGUACUUUAAUUGUUUUUAUAAAUGACAUCUUUUUGGUAUGUCUAUCAAAUGUGAUCAGCCUUUUUAGAUACUUUUAAUAAUUUUUGAAUUUUCUACUCAUAAUUUGGCGAUAUGCAUUUCUAUUUUUGUUAAUGUCUAAGGGAAUGUUUUUGCGUAAUCUCAUUUUUAUCUGUUAUAACUAGCCUUAGUAGAAAAUUUUAGUCAUAAACGGUCAUUUUGAACAUAACAUCGUAAGAACAUUCAAUGAUGUUGCUUUUGUCAGUUAAUUUGACGACAUGUCCACUGCGGUCAUUUUAGUACUGUUUAGUUAAUUCGGUAGCAGUCUAUUUAGUACUUAGUUUUUUCUUCAUAGAACUCAGCACUCUGUUGAUUAAUACUGUUUGAUCAUACCUUCUUUAAGUACACUGAUCUAAAAUGUAUCUUUAAUGGAUGAUUUGAAAGUGAAUUGUCCGAACAGAAAUGUAUUUACUGCAGUGAAUAGGUCUGAAAAUAGACUGAAAAACUAAAAAUGACCUAACGAAGUAGUGUUCACUCUUUUUGAACUGUUGGUCAGAUCAAAUUUAUUAUUUCAGAUAAAAUUGAGAUACUGGUGUGACCCGAACCAAUUUCAGUGUAGAAAUCAGUUGCUUCUCCUCCUUUUUGUUUUCAAUAAAUGUAUUGGUGCAAAAUUUUUAAUGCAUGAUAAAAAAAAACGGUAAUAAGGCUUUGAAUGUAAGUGACAAUAAAACAGCUUCUUUACGAUUGUAUCGAGUAAAGCUAAUGGCAAUUUGUAAUGAUAAACUUACCAUAUACAAUAGAGCAUUUGCAUUAUUUACGUAUGUGGAUACGUAUACGAAUCGACGUAAACGUAUCGGGCAAAUUUGUAGAAAAUAAUUAUUUAGCCGCGACCUCAAUUAUAAUUAAUUGAAAUUAAAUGCAGUAUAAAUUGUCUUAAUCGGGACCAACUUCACUAAAUUUAUUCUUUCCUCAUAUAAGUGUUAUACGAUACCUCGAUAUUGAUAAGCCAGCAAAUACGUGAAUAAUGCAAAUGCUGUGACGUUACGCAUGAUACUGGUGUCACUUUUGGUAACGUCGUAUGUUAACGUCAAAGUCGUGUACUUUAUUGACGUGAUGUUUUAUUGCAUUCUAGUAAAGUCUUUAUAUUUAAACACAUUGGGGGUAUUUUUGUGAGUAAAAGGAGAUAAGGGUUAACACCAUGUUCUCUGUAAGACAAAAGAAAGUAUAAGGUAUACGCAGUGUGUUCUAUGAACGAAAAAAGAUGUUGGAUAUACAGUAAAUGGACAUAAGGAUUUGUCGCCUACGAUUUGUUGUUAUAUAUUUCAUGUAAAUGUAUGUUUUUUCCUAAAAAUUAUUCAGGGACUAUUUCCUAUUGGGGGUUUAAAUCAAAAUUGGUACCAAUGGAUGCAGAACUCUCAUAGGUUUGUUUAGGUUUUUUUUUUUUGGUAAUAUAUUUGUUGUGAAGCGUUAAUUUCAAUUUCUGAUGAUACACACAAAAUUGAUUUUAAUCAUAAGAUUUGCGUUAUAUUCCGAAUACGUUAAUUAAAAAAAUAACAAUUACUAAAGAAAAAGUAUGACCAAAUAAACAAAAAUAUAUUCUUUCAGCACAUGGUUGGUAAAUGCCGUCAAAAUGUAGUUUUGCAUAAAAUUAUAAUGAUAUUUUUAUUGGCUGACCGAUUUAUUUGUAUGUUGAGAAAGCCAGGACUAUUAGAAAUAUAUGUAUAUGAACAUUGGGGAGGGUGGGUAUAUCUUAAAGGCAAUAGGAAAUUAAAGUUCUUCUAGCAUUGAUCCCGAACACAAACAAGUGUGGAACUAUCAUGUAGCUAUAAUGAUUGAUAAAAUGUACGUCACACCAAAGUCCACGGUAACACAUUCAGAGUUAAUUUUUUAUACAGUUUUGUAGAAUUUUGAAAAGGUUAAAAGGAAGACUAAUAUGACGUUUUGAACUUAAACUUUUACGAAUUAUAUGCUUUAGGGAAUUAUUCUGUUCUUUUUAAUACAAUUUUAUUGGUUAUUAAAGAACAGAUUUAGCGUUAUGUGAUUUUGUCGUUUUAAGUAUAGGUUUAGCUAGCUAUAAAAUCGGGUUUAAUCUACAAUUUUCUAUGUAAGAGAUUGUCUGUACCAAGUCAGGAAUAUGUACAAUAAAAGACAUUCUAUAAGACACCAACAGAAAAUAAAAAAAAAAAGAAUUGCGUCCAAAAUUUGUUUUGUUUGGAGAGGAAGCCGCAAUGCACAGAGAAAGCAACCGAUCUUCGCCCGGAAACCGGCACUUCCUAGUAAAUAAGGUUCAUCGAAUUUACAAACUUGAUGUUGACAUCUUAGUGAUCAGUAUAGAUAUACUUCUUUGAUCGCUCGGAUAACAAGGUCUCGGAAAUUCUUUAAAUAAUAGAAAAAUAUGGAUAUGAUUGCCGAUGAGACAAUUCUCUACCAAAGAAUUUAACUAUUCAAAAUCACAGUACGGCUCUCAGCAAUGAGCAAAAUUGAUACCGCACAAUGAGCUAUAAAAGGUAGAUAUAUAUAAAAAAAAUCUCCGAAUUUGAUUCAUUGCAUUUCUGCCAAAGUUUGCGUUAAUUUAUGCUAAUUGAUACGAAUAUUAUUGAAGUGAUAUUUAAAUUUCCUCUUUAUUCUCCGGAAGAUUUGUGUAAAUAUGUUAAAUAUUUGUUGUUGAGUUGCUGUCUCGUUGAAAUGUACUCAAAUCAGAUUUUAUUGAAAUAUUAUGUUAUAUUAAAAAGAGAAACGCAUUUCAAAAAGAUGAAAUCCAAUAUCAAUUAUAAAUUCAUAUUUUAUAUAUAUUCUCUUUGUAAAAUAAAUACGUUACAAAAACACAUUAACGCAAACAUACGUCGCCUUACAAGUGAACGUCAAAAACGUCAAAUUAGCGAUGCUGUGACACAUUGGUAGACCACCAUGCGACCGCUUUACUUUGAUGAUUUUUAGAUUUGUCUACUUUAUAUACAUCAAUAUGUUCCUUUUGCAAAAGAAUUUGACUCUAUAGUGAUGUUUUUCGAAACACUUAUGUUGUUUUACUCUUUUUUGAAGAUAAGUAACAACUUGUCCUUAAUAAUUCUAUGAAAAAAUGAAAACGCUUUCAUUGGGACAUUUUGGUAGACACCCUUUCAACGCAUCGAUAUUCGAUACUAAUCGAUAAAAAUAUUAUUUAAAGCAUCAAAUAUUUUCUUUUUUAUUUGGAAUUUAUCAUGCUGGCUUCAAUUCUCCGAUCUCAAAUGCAGAACACAUUAUUUUUCGUUGUUUUCUAUAACCAACAACGGAAUUACUAACGCAAAACGUUGGUUAAAAGUUUUGUGACGGGAGACCUUUGAGGAUUCAUGUUCUAAAUAUUUUUUGUUUAAUGCUUUAAAUGAGAUUACUGUCCGAACAGAUGCCGUUCAGAUGUAAUAGAUUAGGAGGAAUGUUACAUUUCAUGACUAGUUAAAAAGUUUUCACACAUUUUAAUUAAUUUUGAUAAUUUCUUUAUAGAACAAGUUUUUUAAACGUUGUUGUGACAAUGUACCUUAGGCUAGGUUUUUGGAAAUGAUGUCGAAGUUUUCACGGGAUUUGCUCAUUUACAUGGGAUUUCUUUGUUUUCAUAGAAUUUUCCAAACUUGUUUUACAUAAGGAUAUGCGCUAUCAUGAAUUUGAGAAUAUAAUCUUCUCGCUAUGAUUGCAUUCUAAACUGUUGUGCUGUAAGAAAGUGAUAUGUUCCCUUGGUGUCUACAAUAAAAAUUGACUUCUUUCAAGGCCUACUCGGUCCAAAAAUUGCGUUAUUUACGUUUUAGACACAUGUCAACCAAAGCCCUAACGUUCCUCUUCUCAAUGGUGUAGCAAUAUUAUAUUUUAUAUACCUAUAAGUACCCGAAAAAAAGAAGGAAUACUCGAAGAACAACAUUAUGAUGUUACCCGUCUACACGAAAAAUACAAGAUGUUCUUUGUUAGUAUUAGGUAAACAGAUUGACAAAACUGAAUAAAAACCGAUAAGCCAUCUGUAACUUAAUUUUUGUAGUGCUUUAAAUGUUUUUUACACAAAAUAACAAUUGAUCUUUCCUAUAUUGUUCUUGUUUACGGCCAUUUUUUAGUGUCCGGUUACUUAAACCUGAAAACGUCAUCAACAUUGUGUGUAACGUCUGUAUAUAAAGUAAAAUGUAGAUUGAUGUAUAUAUGCAUGACUGACAAUAAGCUGCAGUACGAUGAUAUCAAAUACAAACCCUGACUAAACAUAAGCUGUAAAACAAUUACGCUAUAAUGAUGGUAUCUAAUGUACUCCUUUUUAGCAUUUGACAGUAUAUAACUGUAAUGAUUUAAAAUGAAGCAUUUUAUCGACAAAACAUGUAGAUGUAUGUGAAAUAAAGCUGCUAUAUGAUGAAACCAAGGAAAACAGCUUCUUAAUUUCCAAAAGCGAAGUCAAAGUGAUAUCAAACGUUGCCCUUAUAAUAAUGAUAUCUGCGUGUCGGACAUUAAUGUACUAAUAUCCUGUAUCAUACCACGCAAAAGUAUUAACUGACGAUUUUUGCUAUCCUUUAACAAAAUGCAAUAUGAAGAAUUGAGGUGACAAAUUCUGUCGAUGUGUCUUUGAUACAUCUAACUAAAUUAUAAAAGAUUACUUCAUCAUUUAUUAAUGAAAACUGCUAUGACAUUCAGUUACAAAUUAUAAGAUAGAACUAUGUACUUAUUAAUUCCCACAUAGAGCUGAGAAAUAUCAUUGACUAUUUAUUGUAUCCACCUACAACUAAGGGACAUUUGUCUUUCUAUUUUUCUAUUUUAAAUUAAUUUCAUCAUGACAAAUUUAUGUUCCUUAAAAGUCAUUAAAAUGUAGUUGAUGAACUAUUACAAGAUUAAGUUUCAAACAACAAAUGGUCUCAUUGGAUUUUCUAGGGCUACGUUAGAGUAUUUUCAAAUCUCACAAUUAUUCACUCGGCAGCACAGCAAAGAUAAUUUUAAAAUGAACAUUGGAACAGAUUAUGUCGUUUGUUUUCAGCUUUAAAAAUUGUAUUUAUAGCGAAAUAAAAUCAGUACCGAUGCUACUACUUUUUUUUACUAUCAACAUAAUUUUGAUCAAAGCAUUUUCUUUGAUAUUUUAUCUCAAAUGAAGAAAGUUCAGCGAUAGUUUGUCUAGCUAAGGUUUUUUUAUUUGGUCUUUGGUUUUAAAGAAAAAAUAUAACAUCAAAAAAUUUUUUUUUUUCAGUUACGUCAUUUAAGAAGAAAAUGAAAAUAAUUUAUGUCUUAUGAUGCCUGUAAAAUUAGAUGCUUAGAGAUUCAAUAUUUCAUGAGCCAUUCGUAUAUUUCAUGAGACAUUCGUAUUUUUGACAUUCGUAUAUUUCAUGAGACAUUCGUAUAUUUCAUCCUGUGGUUAUGAUUAUCGAUUGGAAUAAUACCUUUUUAGUACACCUCAGUUCAAUAUCAGUUUGCUAUCAUUCACCUCUUUCUUAUUAUUUCAAUAUGAAUUAAAAGUGUGCGACUAUUUAAGCGAUAACCUUCAUUGCUAGUGCAAGUUUACAUUUUGCAACGUUUUAGAUCUAAUUUUUCUAAAUAUGACUGUCGGAACAACUAAAUCAAUUUUUCAAUAAUAUUGAACUAAAAUGUGUUAAUGUGAUGCUCCAAUCACUACAGAUAGCGAAGUUUCGUUAUAUCAGUUUACUAGCGACAUGUUUUCGCGAUCUUAGAUCAUAAAAUAACAGUAUACCCGUCUGAUUUGUAACUGAACAAGGGGGACGAAAGAUACCAGAGGGACAGUCAAACUCAUAAAUCAAAAAUAAUGUGACAUCGCCAUGGCUAAAAAUGAAAGAAGACAAACAGAUAAACAACAGUACACAUGACACAACAUAGAAAACUAAAGAAUAAACAACACGAACCUCUUGUGUCCUAUUCCUAGUUUUGACAUUUUGACUGCGACAUCACAUUUCGGAUGAUGCAUGCAUAUCAGGAGAUGCUUACCCUAUCGACACUCGCACUUGUACCUGUUCCAGUUCAUGUACAUCCAUCAGAUUUUGUUUAAUGCCUUGAUUUGUCUCUUUCUAAUCGAUUUACACAUCAAUAUUAAUAUAGGUAAAUGGCAUUUUAUCUGGUAAAUUCACAAAUUAGGGCCGAAUAUUUUUAAUGAAACAUGAUUCAAACAUUAAGACAUUAAUAUAAUAUGUGAUUAUCUAUGAUGAAAUCUUAUACUUCAACGAUGCAAUCUUUUUAAUAAAGCACUAUACUGUUUCUAAUGAAUAAUACAAAAACCAGACACGACGAUAUUCAGAUGGAUUAAAGGUCUGCAAUAGUUCAAAUUAGAAGAGCAUAGGAUGACAUUUUUUUUGAUAAACCCUGUGCGUCCGACAUUGUCCGAAGCACUUUCGUGGACCUUUAUAUGGAAGGCGCUAAACCGAAUAUCAUGAAGCAAAAGAUGUUAAUUAUACCUGAACGCAUGGAAAAUUAGAUGAAUAAAAAGGGACCUAAAAUAAACCAAAUUCAGCAAACUUUAGGAACUUUCGAACCAGCGUUUCUUGCUUGUUUCUAUUUUAUGACAAUGGAGGUUCCUGAAAAGUAUGUUGAAUAUAAUACCAGUACUGAAGCACUUAAUACUAACCUGGUGUAACUCGCAGGUACAAUCAACCUGUAGACCUUUUGAAGCUGUCUUGUAGUUUUAGAUCCCCCUUGUUGUUUCCUCUCUUCUGUAUUCAACACAGAUCACUGUUCUUGAAGACAAGAAACUAGUGCUUGAUUUCAUUCAGCAAUAAAUUUAAACCUCUCACAAUAUUGACGCAUAAGAUUGUGCAGCAAUUAAAAACUAACGUGAUUUUUCAAUGUGGUUUAUUUUGUUUUCAAAUAAAAUGAUCAAUAUAUUGCUCUAUUAAUAACUAGCUAACUUGCAUCAUGAAUAAAGCUAUAAAAUGAUUUUAAUGCCAGGAAAAUUAGAUUAAAACAGGAAGCAUUAAUGAUUGCUUUGAAUUCAGAUAUUUCAGAAAUUUGAAAUAUUUGUUCUUGUUACUAAUUAUUUGAGUGCAAUUGAUGUUUCUUUCAUGGUCAUAUUUGUUAGGGUGUUUUAUAAUAUUAUUAUGAAACACUAUAUGAAAGAACACAUCACACUUUAUAAGAUAAAAGUUAACUUUUAAGUUGACUCUUUUUCACAAGGAAACUUUAAGAAAGAAUCGCAUGCCCUCCAUAAUGAUCAGAAUUCAACUCAUCACAAAAAGCGUAUCAAAAACAUGUAUUGUUCAUGUGAUUGAACGUAUAUGGUAUUUUAGCAUCUUUGUAGAGUUUGUUUUACAAAUAUUCGAACGAUUAUUUAUAGUCAUUUUUUGGGUGUUAAUUUAAGAAUGUCGUUCUUGAUCUAUCUGACAAUUUAUCUUUUUAUUUAUUCGGGCAACACUGAUUAUAGGCACCCGUACGGUCUUCGAUACUGAGAAAACAACUACCAUAUAGUCGGCAAUAAAAGAAUACCCUCAUCGAUAUAUUUAUGUUAAACAUGUGUAGUAAAAUAUCUGUUUGCAUUACGACUUAGCGCAUAUAUACAUACCAGCGACAAGAUCUAAAAAAAAAGAGAUAAUUUCAGGCUUUGCAGUUGGAGAUGAUAUUCUAGACAUUUGAACCCCUUGAAGUAAACAUAUAACACAGUUUAAAAAUAUGUAGAAGCUGAUAUUUGAGAGACUAUUGUUUUUGUAGCUGAUAUUGAUCAGGGGAAUUAUCAUAUCCUGAACAUUAACAUUCGAAAUUAAAUGCUUCCGUAUUUUUUUCCAUCUCUCAUUUUUUUCUAGUUGUACAAAUUUGAUGUAUUUAGUAUAUUCUAUCACAGCUGAAAACGAUAAUUGUGGAGUGGCAUGUAUAAAUCUGUAAUAAACUAGUAAAAUGGUAGCUAGGGGAAGAGGAUUAAAUAGUUGUUAUGAUUUGGAUAAAGAUUGCUAAGAAAGAGUUAUUAGUUUGGUGUUUAAUUUUCUCUUAAUACGUAUUGAUUUGUUAAUAAAACUCACUUGUCAUUUAAUUUUACAUUUUCUCUGUGAUAUAUCUUUGAAAAUUAAUAGAUUGUUAUAAAGAUAAGGUAUAUUUGUUUUCAAUAUACUUACUUUUCCUAUAAUAUUAUUGCAAAUUUGUAUUAAAAAUCGUAAAAUCAUCAAAUAGCAUUUGAGAAAUGAGGGUGAAUCAGUUCAUAUUAAAAUCAGCAUUAGGUCCAUGAUACAUGUUCUUUUCUGUAUUUUCCCGUUGUGCAGUUCUUAUUAAUUAAUUGAUAAUCAUUCGAAAUGUUAUAAAUAGGUCAUGUAAACUUAUUGUUAUAUGGUAACCAGUUGUUUAUUCACAUGUUUGUGUCAUUGUGCGAUGUUUGGAGGUAUAUAAAAGCAAAAUUACCAAACAUGAAUAGAAGAAUUCCAAAAUUAAGAAAACAGGUUAUAAGAUUUGUGAUCAAUAUGUUAUAUGCUAGAUUUAGGAAGAUGUGGUAUAAGUGCCAUGAGACACUCUCAUCCAAGUCACAAUUUUUUUAAAAGUAAACCACAAGGUCAAAGUACGAUCUUCAACACGGAGCCUAAGCACAACCGAAUAGCAAGCUAUAAUGACCCCAAAAAUUAAUAGUUAAAAUUAAUCAAAGAGAAACCAACGUCUAAUAUAAUGAAAUAAAACCGAGAACGAGAACACUUAUGACCACAAAACAAACUUAACCACUAGACAUCAGAUUCUGCCCUUUUGGUAAACACACUAACAUUUGUAGAUUGCUACAUGGAUUUCUAUUUUAAUUAAGUAAAGUUGAAUGAGAGACAUUGUAUUUAAUAAAAAGCUUCUUUCUGAAUAAAAAAGAAAACAACAAUUCUUAUCAUUGUCGCAUUUGAAUGCAUGACUUAAAUGUCUCUCUACAACGCUGGACUGAUCAAUGCAUUACAUAAACCUUUGUCGACGUCUCUCUACAACGCCGGACUGAUAUGCAUACAUAACCAUUGUCGACGGUCUCUCUUACACGCCUGGACCUCUCCUCACCGGCAUAUGCAUAUAACUUUGUCGACGUUCUCUAACAAUGCGGACUGAUCACUGCAUUACUAAAUUGUCGACGUCUCUCUACACGCGGACGAAUCAUGCAUUUAACAUAAAGCUUGAUCGAAUCGUCUCUCUACAACGCUGGACUGAUCACUGAUUACAUAAACUUUGGUCGACGUCUUCUCUACAACGCGGACUGAUCACUGCUUACAUAAACCUUUCCUCGAAACGUUUCUCUACAACGCUUGGAAUUUGUAUCUACUGCAUUACUUUUAAACCUUUUUGUCCGACUUUGUCCGACGUCUCUCUACAACGCCGGACUGAUCAAUGCAUUACAUAAACCUUUGUCGACGUCUCUCUACAAUGCUGGACUGAUCAAUGCAUUACAUAAACCUUUUGUCGACGUCUCUCUACAACGCUGACUGAUACAAUGCAUUACAUAACUUUGUCGACGUCUCCUACAACGCUUGGACUGAAUGCAAAGCAUUCAUACUUUGUCGACGUCUCUCUACAACGCUGGACUGAUCACUGCAUUACAUAAACCUUUGUCGACGUCUCUCUACAAUGCUGGACUGAUCACUGCAUUACAUAAACCUUUGUCGACGUCUCUCCUACACGCCGGACUGAUCACUGCAAUUACAUAAACCUUUGUCGACGCUCUCUACAACGCUGGACUGAUCACUGCAUUACAUAAACCUUUGUCGACGUCUCUCUACAACGCCGGACUGAUCACUGCAUUACAUAAACCUUUGUCGACGUCUCUCUACAACGCCGGACUGAUAAACUGCAUUACAUAAACCUUUGUCGACGUCUCUCUACAACGCCGGACUGAUCACUGCAUUACAUAAACCUUUGUCGACGUCUCUCUACAACGCUGGACUGAUCACUGCAUUACAUAAACCUUUUGACUCUCCCUCUACAACGCCGGACUGAUCAAUGCAUUACAUAACCUUUGUCGACGUUCUCUACAACCGCUGGACUGAUCCUGCAUUCCAUAAAACUUGUCGACGUCUCUCUACAAUGCUGGACUGAUCAAUGCAUUACAUAAACCUUUGUCGACGUCUCUCUACAACGCUGGACUGAUCAAUGCAUUACAUAAACCUUUGUCGACCGUUUUCUCUACAAUCUGGAUGAUCAAUGCAUUACAUAAGCCUUGUCCGACCGUCUCUCUACAACGCUGGACUGAUCAAUGUGAUUACAUAAACCUUUGUCGACGGUCUUCUCUACAACGCUGGACAUGAUCACUGCAUUACAUAAACUUGUCGACGUCUCUCUACAACGCUGGACUGAUCACUGCAUUACAUAAACCUUUGUCGACGCCUCUCUACAACGCUGGACUGAUAAAGUGCAUUACAUAAACCUUCGACGCCGUCUUCCUACGUGUACUGCCUUCUGUUGACCGGCAAUAAAAAAUGUUAUCAAAACGACUUCAAAUCGUUAGAACAUCAUUGGUCUCGUGGACCUUGUAAUAAACGUUUAGCAGAUUACGUGAUCUAUUUAAGGGUUUUAUGUUACUUAUGUCUACUUUGGCCAAUUAUCAUCGAUUACAUAUCAAAUCUGUCGUUAAAACAUGAAUAUUUGUGGCUUUGAAAUCAAUUUGAUCGCCCCCUGGUGUUAUUAACUAUCUCUAACGUAUCCGUGUUUCACAUCAGUCAUGUGUCGCUGAUAUAUUUACAUUAACGCUAAAGUCCGUUGAGGGAGAAUCGUUUUUGUAGUUACUGUUUUGCACUAUGAAGGGCCUUCUGACGUCUUUUAUUGUCGUAACCAGACAUCGAUAAUAUAUUUAUCUUUCACACCAAGGGAUUUGACGAAAAAUGUCAAUGCCAGUCGAUCUGAAUUCUGACCUUUCUCUAACCUAAUGGAAAUGAUUUUAUCAAUUUAAUAUCUUUUCAAUAAACGAUUUUCAUUCCCCUGUGUAAAUCAUUUUACAAUUGUUGAAAAGAUACUGUCUCUCAAUUUAAAAAAAAAUUACUAUGUAUUGAUAUGUAAGCACAGUUUUUCUUUUAUUUAAAAUAAAACUCACUGUACCAAGUCUGAAAUAUGACAGUUGUUAUCCAUUCGUUUGAUGUGUUUGAGUUUUUGACUUUGCCAUUUGAUAAGGGACUUUCUUUUUAGAAUUUCAUCCGUGUUCGGUAUAUUUGUGAUUUACUUUUUUUCAGUUUCUACUUUUUUAUUACUAUAAACAUUUGUUAAGCGCAAAAGAAAACAGGUUCAAUCCACCAUUUUCUAUAUUUGAAAAUGCCUGUACCAAGUCAGGAAUAUGACAGUUUUGGUCCAUUCGUUCGUCGUUUGAUGUGUUUUAUCAUUUGAUUUUGUAUUUUUGUGAUAAUACUUUGUGAUAUGCUGUCAGUGUGCAUAAAACUUAUUUCCUUGUCAUAUGAUCCGAUAGCACCAGUACAUUAACAGUUUUAAUAGUGUAAAUCUUUAAAGGAGAGAUUUGAAAGAAUAAUUUUAGUUUUUGAACAAUUGCAUAAUCGAUCAGUAAACUUAAAAUUUAAACAGUAAAAAUAUUAGCUACUUGUCAACUUAAAUUGAAUUAUAAACCAAUAUAAAGGCAAACAUUCUGUAUAUUACCUUGAUAUCACUGUACUAAGUAACGUAAGAGAAAAUUAUCUUAAAAUGUUUUCUGUCCUUUUGGCAUUGCAUUGUUCAACCACUGCGUGUGUGUAUCGGUGGUUAGUCAAUGUGCAUGCCUCAGGGUUGGGCUAGUUUUAUCUGUUAUUCACUUCGUUUGUCUCAAUUUUAACCAUUUUUAAAGCUGACUUGUAACUAUAUAUUUACGACUGAUAAAAAGAAAAAAAAAUGUUGUGAAAAAUCUAUUCAAUAAACAAUAAUACUCAUCUUUAUUAAGAAAUGUCAUUCUUUAAAAUGGUGAAAUGCAUGAAAAUGCAUGCGAAAGGCUAUAAAUAAAUUUAACUAAUGCAUUUGUAGUAAUUUAUUGCAAAACCAUAGCAAGAUUAUCUAAAUAAGGUUAAUUCGGGUAUGAUCAUUCAGUGUUUUUUUAAAACAAAAUAACAGGCUAUUGGGACAAAUGUUGUUACAUUUAUAUAUAUUAUAUGAUAAAGAGUAAUGAAAUAUUGCUCGUGAAUUAGGUGCAAUCAAAAUGAAUGAAAAUGAAUGAAAAACUUCGCAAUAAGGUCAACAUAUUAUGAUGAAGAUAAAGUUGUAUGUACUGUUUAGUUCAAGUUAAUGAGACAACACAUCAAUACGUAUAUCUGGGGAAUGAAAAUGAAUAGAAAAUAUGUUUAAAUCAUAUUGAUAUCACUUAAAUGUCACUAGUUCAGGAAAUGGAAUAAUAUUUCCGUUAUUAAUCGCACAAGCAUGUAUCUGUUGCAUGUCAAUUUGAUGGUAUUACCAUGUCUAGUGCAUCAAAUGCGCAUUUUGACAAUUAAUUUCUCUUUAGAGAUACUCGAGAUUUCUGAAAAUCUAAUAUCCAAUAGUACAAAAGUUUAACGGCAGACAUAACAAAAACAAAGGGACAAAUGUAUGGCUAAAGCCGGUCAAGGUAUAAAAGGUAUCAGCGCUAAAUUUUAAAUGAUUUCCCUGGUUUUCAAACACUAAAUUGUUAUUCCUUCACCUAUAGAUAAGCAUAACAAACUUUGUUAUAAGACUUUACAAAAUUGAGGAAAACAAACUUUGAAUACAAUAUGAAAUAAAUAUGUAUAAUACUACUACCAUACAAAUUUUUUAUAUAAUUUACAUGCAUUUUUGAUCGAAAUCUGCUGAAGAUUAAGAAUUUAAAAGUAUUUUUUUUUCAUACUCAAUUAAUAAACAUGUUAUAAUCCUGGUACCUUUGAUAAUUAUUUGCACUUAAUGAAAUUAACCUUUACCAAUAUGCUAUGAUAUAUUAUUCAUUGUCAUAUACAAAGUUGCGUAAUUUUUCGCGAAGUCAGAAAGGUAGGCAAAGGCACAUUGCAACUAUUUAGAGCAAUGCUGCAUGAACAUACAGAUCACAGAUUAUCAGUCAAUAUCAGUGUGUAAUAACUUCCCUCCGCAUAAUGUUAUCCUUUUCAACCGAUUUGUCACAUAUACAACAUGUAUCCAAAUACUUUGUUAUUCAAUUUGCCACAACAAUAUAUUUUAAGAUUUAUCCAAUAUAUACGUUUAUAAACUUUUUAGCAAAAAAAUAGUUUUGAAGAAAAUAAAUGCUUAGAAUAAUUCUCACACACUGCAUUUUAUAUUGAUUUGAUUUUAUUAUAAUAUUCUUUAACAAACAAGUUCUUUUUUUAUAUUUAAUUUGCUAAAGAAAAUAUUUAAAAUACAUUUUAACAAUCCCAGUAAAAGCUACGCUAAUUCGUUUGUUGAUGAAAAUGCAUUUUCCCAUCAUUAAACAUAAACUAAUUGCAAAAUGUAGGGCCGUUUAGUCCAUAUAGAAAUAUCUAUAACCGUAAUACUACAUCACCAAGCGUUAUUAUUAAGAAAGUAACGGUUAUAUUUCCUCUGAAUGUAACUUCACGAGUAAAUGAAAACAUAGUAUGCAAUCACUUAAAUGCUUCAAAGUCAAUAUUGAUUCUAAGCGACAAAAACAUUCAGGUGUACUUAAAUACUAUCAUUGAUGGUUCUGUCUGAUAUGGGUGAAACUAUGGUCAGUAGAUUCCAUGUAAAGAAUUAUUAUUCAAAACCACUGAGAAAUGAAAAUCAUCAAUAUUUCAUAAUUUGCAAAUGCUAUGUCAAUAGAAGAAGAUUUGCUCAAUCAUGCAAUAUGUGCCGUAAGUACAAUAUAUUUGCAAAAAGGAGCUAAGGAUACCGAAAUGAUAUUCAAACUCAUGUGUCAAAAACAAAUUGAAAAUGUCAUGGCAAACAAAACAAAAACAGUACGAAAUGACAAAAAGUACACAAAACACAACAAAGAAAAACUAAAGACUGAGUUACACGAUUUUUAAAAGAUAUAUCAGAAAUGUACCAGCAAUGCUAGAUAUAUCAACAAAAACAAAACCAUACGAAAGGACGAAAUAUUCCAAGAAAUUGGUUCAUUUUGUCUGUUGACGUUAAGCAUGAAACAGUAUGCAUUUGAUAAGAAUGCUUUAUUAAUAAGAUUAAACAUUAAGUUAUUAUUACGGAUAUGGAAUAAUACAUGGAAUAAUACAGUACUUUUGACUGUUAAUCAUAUCGGAUGUGUUAAGUUUUACAUUGUAAAUGUCAGUUUUUCUAAGAAGGUGGUAGAAAUAAUACAAUACUUAUAUUUUUUGCUUUUUUAAUUCAAAUUCUAAAUGAAGUUUUUAAAAGGAGAAAAUUUUGAAAAAAAUUAUUAAAUUAUCGACCAAACACUUAAAAUCUGUCUGGACUGAUCAGACAAAAACUGUUUUGUGCAUUUACAUGGAAAGCCAUUAAGCAUCAAGUUUUAUUUCUUAAAACAAAGUCCAUUAUCAGAAUAUGGAAUAAUGUCAGUAAAAGAAUAGAUUGCAGACGGUUUGUUUCCUCAGUUAGAUAUCUUUUUUUCAAAUUCAUUUUUUGCGUUGGUGUACGAAUAUGUACAAACUCAAAGUUUGAAUCAUAGACAAUUGAAAAAGAUACUGUAAUGAAAUACACGUAUUAUAGUGUAUAACAAUACAUCCCACAUUUUUGUCCCACAAUGUAAACACUUAGUAUCAAAAUCAAACCUUAUAAAUCAGAUUCAUGUAAAUAUUACCCGAUUGACUAGACAAUACUAUAAUAUUAUCUUCUGUUUAUUAUUGACAUGUUUUAAGCUUUUAAGACCAUCGUAAAAUACCAAUCUUAAAAGCUUAAAGAUAAAAGCAAAUAGGUUCAAUUACAGGUGAAUCUAAAAAUGACGAUUAAGACAAACGAGUUCAGAUUUUUCAUGCUUAAGAAUUACAAAGAAAAAUUAAAUCUAUAAUAGAUUUCCAGUCUAUGAAUAAAACAUAAAAAAGACGUCCUACAUGAACGUUUAUAUUCCUAUAUUAAAAAUAAAAAGGUAACGGGACUUACGACAAAAAAACAUUGUGUUAAUUGUCAAAUCAUUUAAAAUCAUAAAUACAUAAUCUGUAUAUCGAAGAGAAUAUGAUAACACCAUUAUUAAAGUAAAAUAUGUUCAAAUAUACAUAUCAUUUGUGUUUUUAAAAGAUAGGAUACGAAACCACAGGGAUAUUCAAUAAAGGCAACAGUAGUAUACCGCUGUUCGAAAACUGAGGGAAACGCAUUAAAUAUAAGAGGAGAACAACGACACAACAUAAAAACAACAUUAAAAUGUAACACACAUAGAAACGAACUAAGCAUUAGCCAAAAUUCGAUGAGAAUAACAAAUAUAACAUCAAAACUAAAUACAUGAAUUUGGAAUAGAAAAGUACCGUGAUACGUUUUAUAGGAAAUAUAAGAGGAAACAAACGACACAACAGAAACACAACGUUAAAAUGUAACACACACAGAAACGAACUAUAAUAUAACAAUGGCCAUUUUCCUGACUUGGUACAGGACAUUCAAACUCGUAUGUCGGCAUCAAACUGGAAUGAUACUUUAGUGACUAUCUAUAUAUCUUGUUUACAUGGAAUGGGAAAUUUUACUAGCAGUAAAUCGAAGCUAGCCAUAAAACCCAUUCUACAUGAGAAAGUGGCUUUACCAAGCAAGGAAUAUGACAGCUUAUCUCAUUCGUUUCAUCUUUUGAUUUUGCUAUUUAAUAAAGAAUGUUCUGUUUUGAAGUUGCAGUUUCUUUAAUUUGUUAUUUCAUUUUUUUUAUAUUUUAGAAUUCGGAAUUUAGAUAAAAAUGAAAAGUAUUUUUUGUAUAAUGUAAUUUUAUUUUUUGAACAAUCAAAAUCUAGGACAUGAGACACGAUUAUUGAUUGAUAGAUUGAGUUGUGGUUUAAUUAACAAGGUCAAAAUAUUAGUUCACUCACUGUCUACAUAUUAUGUCUAGAUCUGAAUCGCUUCGAAUCAUUACUGUUAUUAUAUAAUAAAUUGAUCACCGGAUAUCUACUUAGAAGAGCAACAUGACGGGUUCGACAUAUAAAGCUGGAAGUGCUCAUCAAACUAGCACACAUGCAACCCACCCUGGAUUUUAGUGUUGUUUUCGUUGCACACUAUUUAGAUUUUUUUAUGCGUUGGUUUGUGAAAUAUGUUUAAUCAUUCGUUUUUAGCCAAGGUGUUGUCAGGUACGUUUUUUCAAUGAUAGUUUUUUUGACAUGUUCAGUCUUUGUUUUAAACCCUUCCACUAACAAAGCUUUACCAGAAAGAAAAACAAUCAAGAUUUGAUUACAAAUAUCUGACCAGGUAUCUUGCUGGGGAUUGGUACAUGUAAAUUAGAAGGUUUCAUUUCGACAUAUAAGAUGAUAAUGUAUGCAACUGAGUAAAGACAUAUUGUACAAUUCAACCGCGGAAGCUCUUCGGAGAAUAACGAUAAGGUAAUUCAAGAGCAGACAUUCAAUUAAAUAAACCGGAAAAGUGCUACUAAAUCUGUUUAUGAAAUUUGUGUUGAGAUUGUGGUUAACAUUCAGUCUUCUCUAUUUUCAGCAGGCUGUCGAAGACUAUAGAUUCAUGAAAUCAAUACUGGAAGUAUUCUAUAAAAGUCAAUUAGAGCAGUUUCAAGAGCAGGAAGCCUUUAUUCAGCAACAAUUGGACAUUCUUCACGACCAAAGAGAGGCUGUUCGAACCAAGAAACGAAGCCAUGUGCAAUGCCUUGUAAAUGUUGUUGCUUGUUAUAAAAAGCGACGAUAAGUAUAAAGCCUUAAAAAGCAGAAGACAUUCCUUGAUUUUUUGGUGUAUCUGAAAUCAACCAUUCCUAGAAGACAAUCGUUUAACUAUUUGAAUGAUUAUUUUUAUUGAAAACACUGUACAUACCAUCAUGAUUGCUUUUUUGUUAUGAUAUUGUAAAAUGUGGAAUAUUAAAUUAAUUUCGGGUA